UUUUUUUUUUUUUUUGGAUGCACCUGGGGCACAUGCAAGAUCUAGAACCAGGGAUUGAAUUCAUGCCACAGCAGCAACCCAAGCCACUGCAGUGAACAACACUGGAUCCUUAACCUGCUGUGCCACAAGAAAACUCCUCCUUUCCCUUCUUUUUAACAUUAGGUAUUCCAUUUUGCCACUUGCUAUUUUUAAAGAGGUUUUAUUUGUCUUUCAAGGUGUAAAUAGAAUGACAAAUGAUAACAUGUCCUUAGGCAUGUUGAUAUUUUUACAGGACUCAACUUUGAACAGUACUUUUAUAUGCAUUAUUUUGUUUGAUCCUAGUAAUACCUCAAUAGGUGAGCCAGAAUUAAGAUUUCCCAAAAGGUUAACAGGGAUUAAGAUUGCCACUCUAAAAGUAAACUAGUUGCUCAAAGGUAAGAAAACGAAGAAAGAGAACAGAAGUUUGCCUAAGGUAAUGUACUUCUUAAGUGGCACAACCUAACUUCAAUCCAGGCUUCCUGACCCACAAUUUUGAGUUAUUUCUAUAAGAGAAGGAGGUUUUUCUCUCUCUUUAGUACAGUAAGGUGUAUCCUAUUCAGGUCCUCAUACUAAAUAUAUUCAAUAACUAGAAAUACAUACCAGCCAUUUCCACCCCCAACCCAGUGUUUGGUUUUCUACUCUACCUCAUCAAUUAAAUUAUUUUAUAAAAUAUGAGAAUAAAACAACCACAACCUAGCAAUUAUUAAAGAAAGGAAAACAAUUAUCUUUACCUGGUCAAUUGUAAUCACUUUCUUUCCCUCUUUGGAAGUAUGUGUGAGAUUUUCCUUUUUCUCUCUUUGACAUGUACAACUGAAGAAUGAUUUUUCUGUUAAACUUUAUAUUUAAUUUAUUUUUAUUUAUUUAUUUAUUUUUUGUCUUUUUGUCUUUUUUGUCUUUUGUUGUUGUUGUUGUUGCUAUUUCUUGGGCCGCUCCCGCGGCAUAUGGAGGUUCCCAGGUGUGGCCCUAGAAAAGACAAAAAAAAAAAAAAAAAGAAAAAGAAAGAAAUGAAUGUGGUUAUAGAACCUGAUAUUUGAAUAUCUUUAAGACAGAAAUGAAAGAUUAUCUUAAUACUUGAAACACACCAUUUUUUUAAACACACCAUUAUUUUGCACACAGGUUUAAAAUAAGCAGAGGGUCAGAAAAUGUCCUUAGAGAGCAUAUUUUAAAAAGGACUCUCUUUAGCAGAAUUAGUUGGCAUCCUAAUGACAAUCCUCACAUUCCUGCCUUGUAGUCAGUCUUACUAUCGGAAGUUCCAUGCAGGACUCUAUUUGGGGGGAGUUUUCUGUUUGUCUUCUCCGUGGGGGAGCAUUUCCUGGCAUUAGCUAUGGCUGUCUUCCCAUGACUUUGUCUCUUGGUUCAUGGAUUAAUUUUAUCACUCAUCUUACUGAUCCUGAAUAUUUUCUUUUUUCUCGUCCUGCAUUAUACUGACCCAAGUUUAAAAAACAAACAAACAAACAAACAAACAAACAAAAAAACAGGAAGGAAAAAAGACAGGUUUAAAACAAAAAAUAGGCAGGGGAAUAUUGAAAAAGAAGGGAAAAAAGUAAGAAGAGCAUGAAAAAGCUACUACAUAUCUUUGCUUGAAAAAUAGUCAUGUGCUAUGCCAAAAUUUAAAAAAGUACAUUGCAGGAGUUCCCAUCGUGGCUCAGUGGAAACAAAUCUGACCAGCAUACAUGAGGAUGCAGGUUCGCUCCCUGGUCUCACUCAGUGGGUUGGGAACACAGCAUUGCUGUGAGCUGUGGUAGGAGUUGCAGAAUCUGACGUUGCUGUGGCUGUGGCAUAGGCCAGCGGUUUAUAGCUCUGAUUUGAUCCCUAGCCUGGGAACUGCCAUGUGCUGUGGGUGUGACCCUAAAAAGACAAAAAAUAAAAUAAUAAUAAUAAUAAAGUGGAUUGCAAAACCAGAUAUUGCUACUUUAAACAGUAGAUAGAGGGCUGCAGUGGAAACACUGUGUGGAUGGUUAACAGGUCACUUUAACCAUCUAAUGCAAGUAGCUUUCAUAUCUCCUCAGGCUUAAAGGAGAUAUGAUUGUUGGGGUAGUGGGAGGCAGUGCCAUGGACCAGACUAGAGAGAAAACCUUACUCUCUGGAAAAGGAUAAGGAUGGGAUGACCACUAGAGCUGUGUGUACCCCAAAUAAAUUUAGUAACUUUCUCACUGUGUAACCCAAGUCAAUGGGGUCCCCUUUCAGAAGUCAACUUCUUCUUUCAGAAAAGACAAUAAUGGGAAAUGGUGAGUCGAGAUAAUGCUAAGGGCCACUUUGGAGGGUUAAGCAGACAAAUUAUUUCCUCAGUUGGUUCUCUUUAAUAUGGAGUAGGGAUUCCUAAAAAUGUCUACUGUCUGAAGCAGCCAAAGGCAGAGUUAGCCAGAGCUGAGUACAGGCCUCUGGAGACCACUGACUUAUUGUAGCAUACUAUCCUCAAACCUGGCUCUUUCUGGGGUUCUGGAGGUGCCUUAGUGCACUCAUAUACUUCAUCUCCUUACUCCCAAGGAAUACAGUCUGAUCAAUGCAAAAACGAAAACAAAAAACAAAAAACAAAACCAAUUCUGACGGGAAUUGUCCUGAAUUAGCACAGAAAAGACUUGCCUUUGAAGAAUAUCACUUUCUCCUGGGUGCUCCAACGCUGCUGGCCAUACACAUAAUGAAUGAUGAGGAGGACUAAGAUACCUGGAGUAUGAAAAGGCCAAUUGUUGAAUAAACAAUUUCCAAGCUACCAUCCCCACAGCAUUAAAAAAUAAUCACUUCCGGAUCAACUGGCCCAGGACAUUCUUUCAACUAUUUACCACUGAUUUAAAUGCAGUGAUUGUAAGACUAACAGGGGAGUGAGACUGAUUUUACAGAAUAGCUUAAAUCAUGUUAUGGAUGAAAGUCACAUUAAGUUCAGCUACCUGAUUUAUAAGAAUUAUGUUUCUGUUUAUAUAUGAAUUUGAUUUGUGGUUGUAUGAAAUUUAAGAAUAUGUAUUGCAUAUAGAAUGUCUCAAAACAUGAAAUUAAGCCUUAAAUAUUUUUGACAACUAGUUUUUUUUUAUCAAUAGUGGCAUUUCAUACUACUUGGCAAGCGCAUUAACUACUUCAGCGUUCAGUUGACUAGAGCUUACCAGGCAUGUUUUAGCAGACAUAUAUAGAAAUACUAGUAGUUCUCAAAUGUGGUCUGAAAACCUUUGUUGGGUCCUCUGAAUCCUUUCCAGGGUUUCAGCAAAGUCAACACUAUUUUCAUAAUAAGACUAAGACAGGAGUUCCUGUCAUGGCUCAGCAGAAACAAAAUCUGACUAGCAUCCACGAGGACACAGAUUCGAUCCCUGGCCUAGGUGGGUUAAGGAUCUGGCAUUGCCGUGGGCUGUGGUGUUGGUCACAGAUGUGGCUUGGAUCUCAUAUUGCUGUGGCUGUGGCUCAGGCCGGCAGAUACAGCUGUGAUUCCACUCCUAGCCUGGGAACCUCCAUAUGCCGUGGGUGUGGGCCUAAAAAGGCAGGAAAAAAACCCGUACUAAGACAUUGUCUUUUUCACUCUUAUUCUCUCAU
Molecule: long non-coding RNA, 3534 nt
Filed under: Sus scrofa (pig)
Lineage: Eukaryota; Metazoa; Chordata; Mammalia; Artiodactyla; Suidae
Description: lncRNA (ENSSSCG00015036787.1)
Source: RNAcentral